GUGCCAGCAGCCGCGGUAAUACCGGCAGCCCGAGUGAUGGCCGAUCUUAUUGGGCCUAAAGCGUCCGUAGCUGGCUGCGCAAGUCCGUCGGGAAAUCCACUCGCCCAACGAGUGGGCGUCCGACGGAAACUGCACAGCUUGGGACCGGAAGGCUCGAGAGGUACGUCCGGGGUAGGAGUGAAAUCCCGUAAUCCCGGACGGACCACCGAUGGCGAAAGCAUCUCGAGAAAACGGAUCCGACAGUGAGGGACGAAAGCUAGGGUCUCGAACCGGAUUAGAAACCCCGGUAGUCC
Molecule: ribosomal RNA, 293 nt
Filed under: uncultured bacterium
Lineage: Bacteria
Description: partial 16S ribosomal RNA
Rfam family: Archaeal small subunit ribosomal RNA
Source: RNAcentral